GUGUGGCAUCUUUCCUGUUGGGUAUAAAAUACCCUCCAGCCAAAGUUCGUACCAGGAGUGACCCUCCCGGGACUUUGCCGACAUCCAACCUUGGGCGACAUCUUUCCAAACCUCUUCGAUGGCCGAGCUUCCGUAAUAUUCUCAAGUUCUAUCGAUGGAUAAACUCCCACAGCUUCUUCCACAAGUGUCGAUCGGGUUCCCCCGACGGACGAACUCCUGCCGCAUCCCCCGGGCUUCU
RNAcentral lists this long non-coding RNA (238 nucleotides) under Elaeis guineensis (African oil palm). Its description in RNAcentral is "long non-coding RNA (EGUI_LNC050390)". The record is from RNAcentral. Lineage: Eukaryota; Viridiplantae; Streptophyta; Magnoliopsida; Arecales; Arecaceae.